GUGACGAAGCGACGCCGCGUGGAUGAAGAAGGCCUUCGGGUUGUAAAAUCCUGUCAGGAGUUAAGAAAUAUAAAUUUGAGAAUAUCAAAUUUAUUUGACAAAGGCUCCAGAGGAAGCCACGGCUAACUCUGUGCCAGCAGCCGCGGUAAUACAGAGGUGGCAAGCGUUGUUCGGAAUUAUUGGGCGUAAAGAGCACGUAGGUGGGUUUGUUAGUCAGAUGUGAAAGCCUUCUGUUCAACGGAAGAAUUGCAUCUGAAACUACAAAUCUUGAGUAUAGGAGGGGAGAGUGGAACUUCUGGUGGAGCGGUGAAAUGCGUAGAUAUCAGAAGGAACGCCGGCGGCGAAAGCGACUCUCUGGCCUAUAACUGACACUGAGUGUGCGAAAGCUAGGGGAGCAAACGGGAUUAGAUACCCCGGUAGUCCUAGCCGUAAACGAUGGGCACUAAGUAGAGGGGUUUU
RNAcentral lists this ribosomal RNA (459 nucleotides) under uncultured bacterium. Its description in RNAcentral is "bacterial SSU rRNA". It matches the Rfam family "Bacterial small subunit ribosomal RNA", at positions 383 to 832 of the family's 1533-position model. The record is from RNAcentral.